This 358-nucleotide RNase P RNA is filed under the name Wenzhouxiangella sp. AB-CW3. RNAcentral describes it as "Bacterial RNase P class A". It matches the Rfam family "Bacterial RNase P class A". From Rfam's summary of the family: Ribonuclease P (RNase P) is a ubiquitous endoribonuclease, found in archaea, bacteria and eukarya as well as chloroplasts and mitochondria. Its best characterised activity is the generation of mature 5'-ends of tRNAs by cleaving the 5'-leader elements of precursor-tRNAs. The record is from Rfam by way of RNAcentral. Lineage: Bacteria; Pseudomonadati; Pseudomonadota; Gammaproteobacteria; Chromatiales; Wenzhouxiangellaceae.
AGAGCCGGCCAGACAGUCGCUGUGUCCGUUGAGGGCAUGGAGGAAAGUCCGGGCUUCACAGGGCAGGGUGCCAGGUAACGCCUGGGGGGUCUUCACCGAUCCACGGAAAGUGCCGCAGAAAACAUACCGCCGAUGGCCUUUUUCAAGGCACAGGCAAGGGUGAAAUGGUGCGGUAAGAGCGCACCGCGUGACUGGUAACAGUCAUGGCAGGGCAAACCCCACUCGAAGCAAGGCCAAAUAGGGAUGCCACGGCGUGGCCCGCGCUGCAUCCGGGUAGGCUGCUGGAGGCGGUUGGCGACAACCGUCCAAGAUGAAUGACUGUCCACGACAGAACCCGGCUUAUCGGCCGGCUCUCGCU